CAGCUUGGCAGGCUCUUCCGUCACGGGCGGCGGCGGCGGCGGGGGAGUUAGGGGGCCGGGGCGGGGGGUUGAGGGAGGCGGAGAGUGCGCGCAGCGGCCGGUGGCGCGGGGACGACAGAGGUGGGGCACGCGUUAGAGAGAGGUGACCCAAAACUCCCCUUGUACCGCUCCGACCACAGCAGAAGGGAGCAGUCCCCCGAGCACGCCAGCACGGCGCGCGGGUCGUGCCGCUGACACAGUGCUGGUUGAAAGGUUGUCAAGUACUGGAUGAGUAGUCCUUAGUCACCACUAAGAUUGCGCUUACCCCCGUGUUCACGUUGUGCUCAUUGACGACUAUGACUAUGUGUAGUUCUAAAGGUCGGAUGUUCGUUUCCAAGACUAUACAGAAACGUUCUGUAACAACGAGUCCUAUAGUUUCUCUUAGGUCAGUAAUAGAAGUACUUCCCAAUAGGACUUCGAGGGUCCACACCUAAGUCACGUGACCGUCAAUUCCAGGAGGUCGUUAUACCGCAGAGAUAGUGACGGUCUCUAUAAGACUCAUUAUACUUCGAGUUCCUCUCACAGUUUCGAGUGAGAUUGACCGGAUGGAAAGGUGUUUAUAAAUAGUUGCCUCUCAAGCAACCCCCGAGACUGUAGUAUAAUUCGUACGUGGUCUUUCCACUUGAAUUCCUAAAUGAACCACUAAGGCGUGUUUUCCCGCUCGUUCUGUCACGGGUCACUUUGUUCGAUGUCAUACAAUCGUAAACGUACCUCCACCUACGAAGGAGAGACUCAUGAGAAAAUGAGCUGCGAGAAGGACACCACAAGACAACAAUACUGCGUCCUAAAAGUAGUAGCACAACGGUCGGUACUACCUUUAGAGAGCCAAGGUUCUCGUAGGUUCAAAAGCAAAGUACUGUUUAUUUACGGUGAAAAAGUUAUGACAAAAAACAUGCAACAUUAUCAGUCCACUAAAGCAAACCUAAGAUAUAUAAAACCCGGGGCAAACGCAACGUCAUUAUUUACCAAUCCGACAAUGCAUCAAUAAAUACGACGAAAAGAUAAGAUACUUCAAUUAAAACAAACACAUUAGUAGGCUAAGGU
Molecule: ribosomal RNA, 1083 nt
Filed under: Triticum aestivum (bread wheat)
Lineage: Eukaryota; Viridiplantae; Streptophyta; Magnoliopsida; Poales; Poaceae
Description: partial small subunit ribosomal RNA
Source: RNAcentral